CAUGUCUCAGUACAAGCCACAUUAAGGUGAAACCGCGAAAGGCUCAUUAAAUCAGUUAUGGUUCCUUAGAUCGUACCCACAUUUACUUGGAUAACUGUGGUAAUUCUAGAGCUAAUACAUGCAAACAGAGUUCCGACCGGAGACGGGAGGAAUGCUUUUAUUAGAUCAAAACCAAUCGGCGGCGGGCGCGUUUCACGCGUCCUCUCGCCGCUCAACUUGGUGACUCUGAAUAACUUUCGGCUGAUCGCACGGUCUUGAACCGGCGACGCAUCUUUCAAAUGUCUGCCUUAUCAACUGUCGAUGGUAGGUUCUGCGCCUACCAUGGUCGUAACGGGUAACGGGGAAUCAGGGUUCGAUUCCGGAGAGGGAGCCUGAGAAACGGCUACCACAUCCAAGGAAGGCAGCAGGCGCGCAAAUUACCCACUCCCGGCACGGGGAGGUAGUGACGAAAAAUAACGAUACGGGACUCAUCCGAGGCCCCGUAAUCGGAAUGAGUACACUUUAAAUCCUUUAACGAGGAUCAAUUGGAGGGCAAGUCUGGUGCC
RNAcentral lists this ribosomal RNA (545 nucleotides) under Liopterus atriceps. RNAcentral's name for it is "SSU rRNA". It matches the Rfam family "Eukaryotic small subunit ribosomal RNA", at positions 54 to 568 of the family's 1831-position model. The record is from RNAcentral. Lineage: Eukaryota; Metazoa; Arthropoda; Insecta; Coleoptera; Dytiscidae.